CCUUUUGUAGAAUGAACCGGCGAGUUACUGUAUGGAGCGAGGUUAAGCAGGAUAUGCGGAGCCGAAGCGAAAGCGAGUCUUAAGAGGGCGCGAGUUGCAUGCAGUAGACCCGAAACCGGGUGAUCUAGCCAUGACCAGGUUGAAGUUGGGGUAAAACCCGAUGGAGGACCGAACCGACCCCCGUUGAAACGUUGGCGGAUGAGUUGUGGCUAGGGGUGAAAUUCCAAUCGAACCCGGAGAUAGCUGGUUCUCCCCGAAAUAGCUUUAGGGCUAGCGUCGAGAGAAGAGUUGCGUGAAGGUAGAGCACUGAAUAUGUGAUGGCCCCAUCUCGGGGUACUGAGCAUAAUCAAACUGCGAAUGUCACGCCAACAUGCUCGGCAGUCAGACAGCGGGUGAUAAGGUCCGUUGUCAAGAGGGAAACAGCCCAGACCAUCAGCUAAGGUCCCAAAAUGUAUGCUAAGUGGAAAAGGAUGUGGAGAUGUACAGACAACUAGGAGGUUGGCUCAGAAGCAGCCAUCCUUUAAAGAGUGCGUAACAGCUCACUAGUCGAAUGACUCUGCGCCGAUAAUUUACCGGGGCUAAGCAUACUACCGAAGCUAUGGAUCCCAAGGGAUGGUAGGGGAGCGUUCCAUGAACGGAGAAGUACGACCGAAAGGACGUGUGGAGAUCAUGGAAGAGAGAAUGCCGGUGUGAGUAGCGGAACGUGGGUGAGAAUCCCACGCACCGAAAACCCAAGGUUUCCAGAGGAAGGUUCGUCCGCUCUGGGUAAGUCGGGACCUAAGGCGAGGCCGAAAGGCGUAGUCGAUGGACAACAGGUAGAGAUUCCUGUACCCGUAUAUAUGUGAAGGAAUGACGGAGAGAGGAAGCUGCAGCCAGCGGCUGGAAGAGCUGGUGCAAGCGAGAUAUCGGGAUGGCAGGCAAAUCCACCAUCCGAAACGAGAAGGCGUGAAGCGUACGGAAAGCUACGGCGAGUACGGAAGGCAGUGGAGGAACUUCCAAGAAAAGUUUCUAACGUUAAGUAUAUAUGGCCCGUACCGAAAAUGGACACACAUGGGUGAGGAGAGAAUCCUAAGGUGAGCGAGAGAACUAUAGCUAAGGAACUCUGCAAAAUGACUCCGUAACUUAGGGAGAAGGAGUGCUCAUAGAGAUAUGAGCCGCAGUGAAACGGCCCAAGCGACUGUUUACCAAAAACACAGCUCUCUGCUAAGCCGCAAGGCGAAGUAUAGGGGGUGACGCCUGCCCGGUGCUGGAAGGUUAAGGGGAGGGGUUAACGCAAGUGAAGCCCUGAACUGAAGCCCCAGUAAACGGCGGCCGUAACUAUAACGGUCCUAAGGUAGCGAAAUUCCUUGUCAGGUAAGUUCUGACCCGCACGAAAGGCGUAACGAUUUGGGCGCUGUCUCAGCUGUAGACUCGGUGAAGUCUUAGUACCUGUGAAGAUGCAGGUUACCCGCGACUAGACGGAAAGACCCCAUGGAGCUUCACUGCAGGUUGAUAUUGGGAUUUGAUGCAGCAUGUACAGGAUAGGUAGGAGGCAAAGAGAUGGAUACGCCAGUAUUCAAGGAGCCGCUGUUGGGAUACUACCCCUGUUGUAUUGGAUUUCUAACCGGACGACGUAGAGCCGUUGACGGGACAGUGUCAGUCGGGCAGUUUGACUGGGGCGGUCGCCUCCCAAAGAGUAACGGAGGCGCCCAAAGAUACCCUCAGCUUGGAUGGAAACCAAGCGCAGAGUGCAAAGGCAAAAGGGUGUUUGACUGCGAGACCCACAAGUCGAGCAGGGACGAAAGUCGGGCUUAGUGAUCCGGCGGUGCUGAAUGGAAAGGCCGUCGCUCAACGGAUAAAAGCUACCCUGGGGAUAACAGGCUGAUCUCCCCCAAGAGUUCACAUCGACGGGGAGGUUUGGCACCUCGAUGUCGGCUCAUCGCAUCCUGGGGCUGGAGCAGGUCCCAAGGGUAUGGCUGUUCGCCAUUUAAAGCGGUACGCGAGCUGGGUUCAGAACGUCGUGAGACAGUUCGGUCCCUAUCCUCCGUGGGCGCAGGAGAAUCGAUGGAGGCUGCCCCCAGUACGAGAGGACCGGGGUGGACGCACCUCCGGUGAACCGGUUGUCGACCAACGGCACGGCCGGGUAGCCGCGUGCGGCGCGGAUAACCGCUGAAGGCAUCUAAGCGGGAAGCCGUUCCAGGGAUUAGUUCUCCUUCCGGUAAGGGCCCAGGUAGACUACCUGGUCGAUAGACGGCAGGUGCAAGGGCGGCGACGUCCUCAGCCGAGCCGCACUAAUCGCCCGAGCUCUUCCGGA
Molecule: ribosomal RNA, 2293 nt
Filed under: human gut metagenome
Description: bacterial LSU rRNA
Rfam family: Bacterial large subunit ribosomal RNA
Source: RNAcentral